Molecule: non-coding RNA, 30 nt
Filed under: Rattus norvegicus (Norway rat)
Lineage: Eukaryota; Metazoa; Chordata; Mammalia; Rodentia; Muridae
Source: RNAcentral
UUUCAGGACCUCAUUGGCUUAAAAUCCCAU